CACACGGCCUCAGCCCAAGGAGUCCCACCCUACAAAGUCCUUCAUUGUCGUUGAGGAUCACAGGUACCUGCUCACGGGUUUAUUUUCUUGAUCAGCAUGUCAGCUCUUAGCUACUGCUCCAGCUCCAUGCCUGCCGGCCUGCCACCAUGCUUCCUACCAUGAUGGCUAUGGACUCACCCCCUGAAGCUGCAGACCCCCAAAUAAAGCUUUAUUUUAUAAGUUGC
Long non-coding RNA from Mus musculus (house mouse), 224 nucleotides. RefSeq annotates it as predicted gene, 38856. NCBI's taxonomy places the organism in Eukaryota, Metazoa, Chordata, Mammalia, Rodentia, Muridae. The transcript is spliced from 2 exons. The record is from RefSeq and is a predicted model, not a curated record.